AUUCACUACUGCUUAAUACAAUCAUGCCUUGCUGUGGGUUUUAACUUUGUUUUGGGUGGGGGAAAGACUUCAGGUAUAGAAUGUAUGAAUUUCCAAUUUACCUUUUAAUGAAAUAGCAGGAUUCUUGGGCCAAACAAGUAAAUUAUUCACCUGAAGGAUAUAGAAUGAUUCACUCCUUUCUUGCUCCCUCCUCCCUCCAUCUUUCCACAAACACUGAUGAAUGAUUAUGCUGGACAAAGAGCUUCUAGAGAAGGGACAAUUGUGUUCCUCCACAAACCAGGUCACUGGAAAGGAACCAAGGGAUGUUUGGUCCCCUUCUUAUCCACAACCCUCAUUAAAGUCAUUAAAGUGUUUCAUUUGAAUUCCA
This 367-nucleotide long non-coding RNA is filed under the name Vulpes vulpes (red fox). RNAcentral's name for it is "lncRNA (ENSVVUG00000002656.1)". The record is from RNAcentral. Lineage: Eukaryota; Metazoa; Chordata; Mammalia; Carnivora; Canidae.